GAUGAACGCUGGCGGCGUGCCUAAUACAUGCAAGUCGAGCGAACGGACGAGAAGCUUGCUUCUCUGAUGUUAGCGGCGGACGGGUGAGUAACACGUGGAUAACCUACCUAUAAGACUGGGAUAACUUCGGGAAACCGUAGCUAAUACCGGAUAAUAUUUUGAACCGCAUGGUUCAAAAGUGAAAGACGGUCUUGCUGUCACUUAUAGAUGGAUCCGCGCUGCAUUAGCUAGUUGGUAAGGUAACGGCUUACCAAGGCAACGAUGCAUAGCCGACCUGAGAGGGUGAUCGGCCACACUGGAACUGAGACACGGUCCAGACUCCUACGGGAGGCAGCAGUAGGGAAUCUUCCGCAAUGGGCGAAAGCCUGACGGAGCAACGCCGCGUGAGUGAUGAAGGUCUUCGGAUCGUAAAACCCUGUUAUUAGGGAAGAACAUAUGUGUAAGUAACUAUGCACAUCUUGACGGUACCUAAUCAGAAAGCCACGGCUAACUACGUG
Molecule: ribosomal RNA, 497 nt
Filed under: uncultured bacterium
Lineage: Bacteria
Description: partial 16S ribosomal RNA
Rfam family: Bacterial small subunit ribosomal RNA
Source: RNAcentral